This 491-nucleotide ribosomal RNA is filed under the name uncultured bacterium. Its description in RNAcentral is "bacterial SSU rRNA". It matches the Rfam family "Bacterial small subunit ribosomal RNA", at positions 28 to 516 of the family's 1533-position model. The record is from RNAcentral.
GAUGAACGCUAGCGGCAGGCUUAACACAUGCAAGUCGAGGGGUAUAGUUCUUCGGAAUUAGAGACCGGCGCACGGGUGCGUAACGCGUAUGCAAUCUACCUUUCACAGAGGGAUAGCCCCAGAGAAAUUUGGAUUAAUACCUCAUAGUAUAGCAGUUUCGCAUGAAACCACUAUUAAAGUCACAACGGUGAAAGAUGAGCAUGCGUCCCAUUAGCUAGUUGGUAAGGUAACGGCUUACCAAGGCAACGAUGGGUAGGGGUCCUGAGAGGGAGAUCCCCCACACUGGUACUGAGACACGGACCAGACUCCUACGGGAGGCAGCAGUGAGGAAUAUUGGGACAAUGGGCGGCAAGCCUGAUCCAGCCAUGCCGCGUGCAGGAANAAGCAUCUAUGGUGUGUAAACUGCUUUUUGUACGGGAAGAAACACUCCUACGUGUAGGAGCUUGACGGUACCGUAANAAUAAGGAUCGGCUAACUCCGUGCCAGCAGCC